This is a long non-coding RNA of Sebastes umbrosus (honeycomb rockfish), 728 nucleotides long. RefSeq lists it as uncharacterized. The record is from RefSeq and is a predicted model, not a curated record. NCBI's taxonomy places the organism in Eukaryota, Metazoa, Chordata, Actinopteri, Perciformes, Sebastidae. The transcript is spliced from 6 exons.
GUCGGUUGGAAGGAUUUUUUUGAAAAUGUAAUAUCAAAAAUCGUUUUACUUGGCUUUAAACGUUUUCUUUGCUUAAAAACAUGUUUCUGCUUUCGGUUAAAAGGUUCCACUUAUGUUCGGCGUCACAAAGAGUCCCGCCCCCGCCUGACCAACGGAGGCUUCCUAUUGGCUGCUCACCGCGUGUCCGUCAAGGAACCGCCGCUGUGAUUGGCUGUCGCUACCUGAACCGAUGUCUGGCUAUAUGACGUCACUGUGCUGGUCUACUGCGCCAUCGAUUGAUUCUGCCGUAGAUGAUCUGCAGGAGGAGGCUGGCCAGUGUGAUCAGCUUGCUAUCCGGAGCAGGAAAGAAGCCCUUCAGGAGGCAGUGACGGGCCUCGUCGAACAGAAUGAGGAUGGCCAGAGGAUCCUCCACCUGGAGCAAAACAGCAGCCGGACGUCCCUGCGGAGGAAGAGCUGAGGCGUUUCUCUUUGAGGAUCCAGCACCGUCAGGUCCGUCACAAUCUCUGUCCAGAUGCGCAGGUGCUGCAGGGGCUUGUGGUACGGCUUCAGCUGCAGGCAUCUUUCUACCUGUUGUAAUAUUCGACAAUGAAGCUGAGAGUAGAGAUUGUUCCUGGACGUCCUCUCUCUGUUGGUCCAUGUUCAGGACGAGUCGUCUUUGCACUGACUGAGCACCUCCUGCAUCUUCUCCUGGAUGUCCGCCACCUUCUUGGUCCACUUCUCCCGCACCU